Molecule: ribosomal RNA, 615 nt
Filed under: uncultured fungus
Lineage: Eukaryota; Fungi
Description: eukaryotic LSU rRNA
Rfam family: Eukaryotic large subunit ribosomal RNA
Source: RNAcentral
CCCGCUGAACUUAAGCAUAUCAAUAAGCGGAGGAAAAGAAACCAACAGGGAUUGCCUCAGUAACGGCGAGUGAAGCGGCAACAGCUCAAAUUUGAAAUCUGGCCCUCGGGUCCGAGUUGUAAUUUGUAGAGGAUGCUUCUGGCGCGGUGCCUUCCGAGUUCCCUGGAACGGGACGCCAUAGAGGGUGAGAGCCCCGUCUGGUUGGACGCCUAGCCUCUGUGAAGCUCCUUCGACGAGUCGAGUAGUUUGGGAAUGCUGCUCUAAAUGGGAGGUAUAUGUCUUCUAAAGCUAAAUACCGGCCAGAGACCGAUAGCGCACAAGUAGAGUGAUCGAAAGAUGAAAAGCACUUUGAAAAGAGGGUUAAAUAGUAUGUGAAAUUGUUGAAAGGGAAGCGUUUAUGACCAGACUUUUUCUAGGCAGAUCAUCCGGUGUUCUCACCGGUGCACUUUGCCUAGUUGAGGCCAGCAUCGGUUUCUAUAGAGGGAUAAAAACAGUGGGAAUGUGGCUCCUCCGGGAGUGUUAUAGCCCAUUGUAUAAUACCUUUACGGGGACCGAGGUUCGCGCUCUGCAAGGAUGCUGGCGUAAUGGUCAUCAACGACCCGUCUUGAAACACGG